CUACGGGUUGCACCAGUGGGGAAUAUUGCACAAUGGAGGAAACUCUGAUGCAGCAACGCCGCGUGGAGGAUGACACUUUUCGGAGCGUAAACUCCUUUUAUAUAGGAAGAAGAUGACGGUACUAUAUGAAUAAGCGCCGGCUAACUCCGUGCCAGCAGCCGCGGUAAUACGGAGGGUGCAAGCGUUACUCGGAAUCACUGGGCGUAAAGAGCGUGUAGGCGGAUUAAAAAGUGAGAAGUGAAAUCCUAUAGCUUAACUAUAGAACUGCUUCUGAAACUCUUAAUCUAGAAUAUGGGAGAGGUAGAUGGAAUUUCUGGUGUAGGGGUAAAAUCCGUAGAGAUCAGAAGGAAUACCGAUUGCGAAGGCGAUCUACUAGAACAUUAUUGACGCUGAGACGCGAAAGCGUGGGGAGCAAACAGGAUUAGAUACCCGCGUAGUC
Molecule: ribosomal RNA, 439 nt
Filed under: uncultured bacterium
Lineage: Bacteria
Description: partial 16S ribosomal RNA
Rfam family: Bacterial small subunit ribosomal RNA
Source: RNAcentral